GACCUCAGAUCAGACGAGGCUACCCGC
Molecule: ribosomal RNA, 27 nt
Filed under: Trichuris sp. S1
Lineage: Eukaryota; Metazoa; Nematoda; Enoplea; Trichinellida; Trichuridae
Also listed under: 1 other name
Description: partial 28S ribosomal RNA
Source: RNAcentral